CGGAAGGAAGCCUGGUCUGGGCAGAGAGGGAAGUGGAGGCCGGAGGAGGCGCUGGGAAAGGUGAGCGAAGGCCGGCCCGGAAGUGCUGCUGGCCUUGGAGCCUUCGUCCUUGGGCCUGGUCCUCUGGGGUGCACCCAAGCCCCGCCGUCUCCAACCUCAGUUUCCUCAGCUGUACACGGGGAGAAGGGAGCCCAGCCUCAAGUGAUGAGAGGAUCGGCGGACAGUGUGUGGCCCACACGGCCGGCCCAGGGUCAGCACUCGGGAACAGGUCGCUGAGGCUGGCGGUAUCAUCCGAGUCUGAACAAAUUACAG
Molecule: long non-coding RNA, 312 nt
Filed under: Fukomys damarensis (Damara mole-rat)
Lineage: Eukaryota; Metazoa; Chordata; Mammalia; Rodentia; Bathyergidae
Description: lncRNA (ENSFDAG00000032770.1)
Source: RNAcentral